RNAcentral lists this ribosomal RNA (568 nucleotides) under Petasospora americana. RNAcentral's name for it is "eukaryotic LSU rRNA". It matches the Rfam family "Eukaryotic large subunit ribosomal RNA", at positions 64 to 647 of the family's 3401-position model. Lineage: Eukaryota; Fungi; Ascomycota; Saccharomycetes; Phaffomycetales; Wickerhamomycetaceae. The record is from RNAcentral.
ACCCACAGGGAUUGCCUUAGUAACGGCGAGUGAAGCGGCAAAAGCUCAAAUUUGAAAUCUAGUACCUCCGGUGCUCGAGUUGUAAUUUGAAGAUAGUUUUCUGGUACUGGCCCUUGUCUAUGUUCCUUGGAACAGGACGUCAUAGAGGGUGAGAAUCCCGUCUGAUGGGGUGUCCAGUGCUUUGUAGAUUUCUAUCGAAGAGUCGAGUUGUUUGGGAAUGCAGCUCUAAGUGGGUGGUAAAUUCCAUCUAAAGCUAAAUACUGGCGAGAGACCGAUAGCGAACAAGUACAGUGAUGGAAAGAUGAAAAGAACUUUGAAAAGAGAGUGAAAAAGUACGUGAAAUUGUUGAAAGGGAAGGGUAUUGGAUCAGGACUUGGUGUUUUGUGAUUAUCUUCCCUUCUUGGGUUGUGCACUCGCAUUUCACUGGGCCAGCAUCGGUUCGGAUGGCAAGAUAAUGGCUUGGGAACGUGGCACUCUUCGGAGUGUGUUAUAUCCCUUGUUGAUGUUGCCUAUCUGGACCGAGGACUGCGGCUUCUGCCUAGGAUGCUGGCGUAAUGAUUCAAUACCG